This 1518-nucleotide unclassified non-coding RNA is filed under the name Zea mays. RNAcentral describes it as "misc RNA Zm00001eb333960". Lineage: Eukaryota; Viridiplantae; Streptophyta; Magnoliopsida; Poales; Poaceae. The record is from RNAcentral.
CCGAACAAAAGCAUCCAUUGGCACAAUUAAUUAUUAAAAUGAAAAUGGGGAAUCGAAACAUAGCAACAGUGACACAUGGAUCGUCUGGUCCAAUCGAAGUGAGGCGCGUCUCACUCGUCGUCGGCGACGCGGACGAGCUGCUUUCCGACGUUGCGACCGUGGAAGAGUCCUAUGAGCGCCUUGGGCGCGCUCUCGAGCCCCUCGGCGACGUCCUCGACGUAGGCGAGCGUGCCGUCCCUGAUGUACGGCAGCACCCACGCCUCGUACUGCGGGUAGAGGUGCUUGUGGUCGGGCUCGAUGAACCCCUGCAGGCGGAGGCGCUUGGAGAUGACGGCGGCGAGGUUGCGCACGGCGUCCUUCUCCCCGUCCGCCAGGUUGUACUGCGAGAUGAGCCCGCAGACGGCGAUCCGUCCGUGCACGCGCAUGUUGAGCAGGACGGCGUCGAGCAUGGCGCCGCCGACGUUCUCGAAGUAGAUGUCGAUGCCGUCGGGGAAGCAGCGCUUGAGCGCGGCGCCGAGGUCGGGCUCCUCCUUGUAGUUGAAGGCGUCGUGGAAGCCGAACCUGGUCUUGAGCAGCUCCACCUUCUCCCGGGACCCGGCGCUGCCGACGACGUGGCAGCCGGCGAGCCUGGCGAACUGGCCCACCAGCUGGCCGACGGCGCCGGACGCGGCGGACACGAACACGGUCUCGCCCUUCUUCGGCGCGCAGAUCUCGUGGAAGCCCACGUACGCGGUGAGCCCCGGCAUGCCGAGGAUGCCGGUGUAGUAGGACAGCGGCACGCCCGCCCCCUCCCCGACCCCGUGGUGGGAGAUCUUGGAGAGGAGCCUGGUGGCGGGCGGCGUCACGACGCUGUAGUCCUCCCAGCCGGUGAUGCCCCAGACGAGGUCCCCGGGCGCGAGGCGCGGGUCGGAGGAGUCGACCACGCGCGCGACGCCGUAGCCUGUGAUGGUGUCGCCCGGGACGAAGGCGGCCGUGUAGGACUCCCGCAGCGGGCGCGACAUCUUGGGCCGCAUGUAGGGGUCGCAGGAGAGGUAGAGGUUCCUGACGAGGACGGACCCGGCCGGCUCGGCGCCCGUCAGGCGGAGGGGAACCUCGGCGCCCUGGAGCAGCUCCAUGUGCUCCUCGCGAGGAUAUCCCUCCACGUACUCCUUGAGGAUCACCCGCCGGUUCGUCGCCGUCGUCGCCAUCGGGGCCUGCUUGUGCUCGGAUCUAUCCCUCUGCGACUCUGCUUUGCUGUGCCGUGCUCUGCUUUCCUCCGCUGAGGAGGAUUGAGUUCAGUGUAGUACUUUUGUUUGGAUAUUGAGAUUUGCUAGUUGCAGUAGUAUAUUGAGAUUUGCAAAUGCAAUAAGUGAUGGUGAAUUAUUGGGGGACCCGGGCGGGCUGCGCAGCCUUCAACGGGGCAUGAUUAGUGGGUCCUUUUGGAUACAGAUACUAGAGAUGUUGCAAUUGAAUUAGAUCUAAUACUAAAACUGUUUAGUACUGAAAAUAAAUUUUAAUAUAAAUAUCUUGUUUGGAUGU